AAGAGGCUUGGUUAGUGUUUUGGAGUAAAAUAUGACUAGAUGUCAUGUGUAUGAGUGAGUAUAACAACUAGAACCGUUACCGGAGCUUAAAAGGCUAAGUAUUGUAUCCUUGUUAGAAGAAACAAAGACAAAGACUCAUACUUACUUCGGCUACACCAUCAAAGCUUUGAGAAGCAAGAAGAAGCUCGGUUAGUGUUUUGGAGUCGAAUAUGACUUGAUGUCACGUGUCUGAUUGAGUAUAAGAACUUAAACCGCAACCGUAUCUUAAAAGCCUAAGUAGUGUUUCCUUAUUAGAAAAUACAAAGCGAAAGACUCAUACGGAGUUUAGCUACACCGUCUAAGCUUUGAGAAGCAAGAAGAAGGUUGGUUAGUGUUUAGGAGUCAAAUAUGACUUGAUGUCAUGGGUAUGAGUGAGUAUAACAAGUAGAACCGUAACCAGAUCUUAAAAGCCUAAGUAUUGUAUCCUUGCUAGAAGAUACAAAGACAAAGACUCAUACGGACUUCGGCUACACCAUCAAAGCUUUGAGUAGCAAGAAGAAGCUUGGUUACUGUUUUGGAGUCAAAUAUGACG
Molecule: small RNA, 571 nt
Filed under: Arabidopsis thaliana (thale cress)
Lineage: Eukaryota; Viridiplantae; Streptophyta; Magnoliopsida; Brassicales; Brassicaceae
Description: ATSL268320
Source: RNAcentral